Molecule: transfer RNA, 74 nt
Filed under: Bacteroidia bacterium
Lineage: Bacteria; Pseudomonadati; Bacteroidota; Bacteroidia
Description: tRNA-Ala
Rfam family: tRNA
About the family: Transfer RNA (tRNA) molecules are approximately 80 nucleotides in length. Their secondary structure includes four short double-helical elements and three loops (D, anti-codon, and T loops).
Source: RNAcentral
GGGGGAUUAGCUCAGUUGGCUAGAGCGCUUGACUGGCAGUCAAGAGGUCAGCGGUUCGAAUCCGCUAUUCUCCA